UGCGGGGGUUGCCCAGCCAGGUCAAAGGCGCUAGGUUGAGGGCCUAGUCUCGUAGGAGUUCGUGGGUUCGAAUCCCAUCCCCCGCAUCC
This 89-nucleotide transfer RNA is filed under the name ANME-2 cluster archaeon. Its description in RNAcentral is "tRNA-Leu". It matches the Rfam family "tRNA". Rfam says of the family: Transfer RNA (tRNA) molecules are approximately 80 nucleotides in length. Their secondary structure includes four short double-helical elements and three loops (D, anti-codon, and T loops). Further hydrogen bonds mediate the characteristic L-shaped molecular structure. tRNAs have two regions of fundamental functional importance: the anti-codon, which is responsible for specific mRNA codon recognition, and the 3' end, to which the tRNAs corresponding amino acid is attached (by aminoacyl-tRNA synthetases). tRNAs cope with the degeneracy of the genetic code in two manners: having more than one tRNA (with a specific anti-codon) for a particular amino acid; and 'wobble' base-pairing, i.e. permitting non-standard base-pairing at the 3rd anti-codon position. The record is from RNAcentral. Lineage: Archaea; Methanobacteriati; Methanobacteriota; Methanomicrobia; Methanosarcinales. RNAcentral also lists the same sequence under 1 other name.